RNAcentral lists this ribosomal RNA (885 nucleotides) under Polypedates leucomystax (Java whipping frog). Its description in RNAcentral is "partial 16S ribosomal RNA". It matches the Rfam family "Bacterial large subunit ribosomal RNA", at positions 1158 to 2605 of the family's 2925-position model. The record is from RNAcentral. Lineage: Eukaryota; Metazoa; Chordata; Amphibia; Anura; Rhacophoridae.
CCACCUUUUAAAACGCGUCAAAGCGUAACCUUAACCCCCAAAAUUCCAUUAAUUUUCAUGAACCCCUAAUUUAUAAUGAAUGACUCCAUAUUUAUAUGGAAGACACCAUGCUAGGAUUAGUAACAAGAAUUUAUAAUUCUCCAAAAUGCAAAUAUAAACCAACAUGGAUGGACCAUUGGUAGUUACCGAACCUAAAUUUUAUGCAAUAACACCCACAAGAAAACUCUGCAGUACUUACUCGUUAACCUAACACCAGCGCAUUACAGGAAAGAUUUAAAAAAAGAGAAGGAAUUCGGCAAAUGACGGCCCCGCCUGUUUACCAAAAACAUCGCCUCUUGACUUAUAAUAAGAGGUCCAGCCUGCCCAGUGAAUUUUAAACGGCCGCGGUAUUCUAACCGCGCGAAGGUAGCAUAAUCACUUGUUCUUUAAAUGGGGACUCGUAUCAACGGCAUCACGAGGGUUUUACUGUCUCCUCUUUUUGAUCAGUGAAAUUGAUCUUCCCGUGAAGAAGCGGGAAUAAAUUUAUAAGACGAGAAGACCCCAUGGAGCUUUAAACCAAAUAACAACUUAACCACUUAUCCCAUAAUAAAUUUAAACCCUGUUAUAAGGUUUUUGGUUGGGGUGACCGCGGAGUAAAGCACAUCCUCCACGACGGAAAGAACAAAAUCUUUAUUUAAGAACCACACUUCUAGAAAUUAGUAUACUAACGUUUACUGACCCGACAAUCGAUCAACGGACCAAGUUACCCUGGGGAUAACAGCGCAAUCUACUUCAAGAGCCCAUAUCGACAAGUAGGCUUACGACCUCGAUGUUGGAUCAGGGUAUCCCGGUGGUGCAGCCGCUACCGAAGGUUCGUUUGUUCAACGAUUAAAACCCUACGUGAUC